Molecule: long non-coding RNA, 582 nt
Filed under: Salvia miltiorrhiza (redroot sage)
Lineage: Eukaryota; Viridiplantae; Streptophyta; Magnoliopsida; Lamiales; Lamiaceae
Description: long non-coding RNA (SMIL_LNC013405)
Source: RNAcentral
GAACUUAGAGCAUCCACAACGCAUGGAGCGAAGGGAGCGUCGAUCCGGUGUGAAGAAACGUCCGCCGCGCUGGAGAACCGGCCAAGUGCGAGGCCGAGGCGAAGCCUAGACACGGGUUGAAGAGGAGGCGUGUGUGGCGCGUCCUGCGGACGCGCCGUUUUUUUUUUUUUUUUAAAUUCUAAAUUCGUGAAUUUUGGCGAAGGAAACCUCUGGAGUGAUUUUUUGCUGGAAAAGAGACGCGGAUGGGGGGAAGAGGGAAGGAAUGGAGUCGGUGUUUUUGCUGGAAAAGAGACGCAGAUAGGGGGGGAAGGAAUGGAGUCAGUGGGAAAGAAAGAAGAAAAGGGGAGUCGGUGGGUGGGGAAUUUUUGUUUUUUUUUCUUUUAAAAUCUUAAUUAUUUAAAUUAUGUAAUUUUUUUAUUAUUUAAAUUAUGUAAUUUUUAUUUUUAUUGAAAUGUUUAAUUUAAAUUUUAAUGAAAUUUGAAUUAAAAAUACAUUUGGUCUCGUUUUGGUCCGAUUGAGUCCUAGAAAAUUAGUGUAAUUUUUAUUUUUUUUAUUGUAUUUAAAUUAUGUCUUUAAAUUAUU